This 23-nucleotide non-coding RNA is filed under the name Cricetulus griseus (Chinese hamster). Lineage: Eukaryota; Metazoa; Chordata; Mammalia; Rodentia; Cricetidae. The record is from RNAcentral.
GUAGAAUAAAAUGAAUUAAGAUC